RNAcentral lists this non-coding RNA (165 nucleotides) under pig gut metagenome. RNAcentral's name for it is "Lysine riboswitch". It matches the Rfam family "Lysine riboswitch aptamer". From Rfam's summary of the family: Riboswitches are metabolite binding domains within certain messenger RNAs that serve as precision sensors for their corresponding targets. Allosteric rearrangement of mRNA structure is mediated by ligand binding, and this results in modulation of gene expression. This family includes riboswitches that sense lysine in a number of genes involved in lysine metabolism, including lysC. The record is from RNAcentral.
UAAGUAGAGGCGCAGGAUUUAUAAGUAUAUUUUUGGACACAGUAAGGUGUGGAGGAAGAAAGUAAAAAGGAAAGCCUGCCGAAGAACUUAUCAGCCUUAAGGAUAAGAUUCUGGGCAUACAGUGAAGAACUGUAUGACUGUCAUCGUAAGAUGGAGAGCUACUGA